RNAcentral lists this ribosomal RNA (524 nucleotides) under uncultured bacterium. Its description in RNAcentral is "partial 16S ribosomal RNA". It matches the Rfam family "Bacterial small subunit ribosomal RNA", at positions 28 to 523 of the family's 1533-position model. The record is from RNAcentral.
GACGAACGCUGGCGGCGUGCUUAACACAUGCAAGUCGAACGAGACGAUUGAAAGCUUGCUUUCGAAAGUCGAGUGGCAAACGGGUGAGUAACGCGUAGACAACCUGCCUUUGAGAUGGGGACAACAGUUCGAAAGGACUGCUAAUACCGAAUGUUGUAUAUUUUCCACAUGGAAGAUAUAUUAAAGAUGGCCUCUAUUUAUAAGCUAUCGCUCAAAGAUGGGUCUGCGUCUGAUUAGCUGGUUGGUGGGGUAACGGCCUACCAAGGCGACGAUCAGUGGCCGUGCUGAGAGGAUGAACGGACACAUUGGGACAGAGAAACGGCCCAGAAUCCUACGGGAGGCAGCAGUGGGGAAUCUACCACAAUGGACAAAAGCCUGAUGGGGCAACGACGCGGGAGUGAAGAAGGGUUUCGGCUCGUAAAGCUCUGUUGUCGGGGACGAAUGUGCAGUAUUUGAAUAAAGUACUGCAAUGACGGUACCUGACGAGGAAGCCACGGCUAACUACGUGCCAGCCGCCGCCGUAA